This 21-nucleotide microRNA is filed under the name Gallus gallus (chicken). Its description in RNAcentral is "gga-miR-1554". The record is from miRBase by way of RNAcentral. Lineage: Eukaryota; Metazoa; Chordata; Aves; Galliformes; Phasianidae.
GCAGGUGAUGAGGCUUUGCUG